AGAGUUUGAUCAUGGCUCAGGAUGAACGCUAGCGGCAGGCUUAAUACAUGCAAGUCGAGGGGCAGCAUGAGUAGCAAUACUUGAUGGCGACCGGCAAACGGGUGCGGAACACGUACACAACCUUCCUUUAAGUGGAGAAUAGCUCCCGGAAACGGGAAUUAAUACUCCGUAAUAUUAUGAAGUGGCAUCACUUUAUAAUUAUAGAUUUAUCGCUUAAAGAUGGGCGUGCGCCUGAUUAGGUAGUUGGCGGGGUAACGGCCCACCAAGCCUUCGAUCAGUAACUGGUGUGAGAGCACGACCAGUCACACGGGCACUGAGACACGGGCCCGACUCCUACGGGAGGCAGCAGUAAGGAAUAUUGGUCAAUGGACGCAAGUCUGAACCAGCCAUGCCGCGUGGAGGAUGAAGGUCCUCUGGAUUGUAAACUUCUUUUAUUUGGGAAGAAAUGCAUUUUUUCUAAAGUGCUUGACGGUACCAGAUGAAUAAGCACCGGCUAACUCCGUGCCAGCAGCCGCGGUAAUACGGAGGGUGCAAGCGUUAUCCGGAUUUACUGGGUUUAAAGGGUGCGCAGGCGGAUAUGUAAGUCAGUGGUGAAAUCUUUGGGCUUAACCCGAAAAUUGCCAUUGAUACUAUAUAUCUUGAAUGCUGUGGAGGUAAGCGGAAUAUGUCAUGUAGCGGUGAAAUGCUUAGAUAUGACAUAGAACACCUAUUGCGAAGGCAGCUUACUACGCAGAUAUUGACGCUCAUGCACGAAAGCGUGGGGAUCAAACAGGAUUAGAUACCCUAGUAGUCC
This 793-nucleotide ribosomal RNA is filed under the name uncultured bacterium. RNAcentral's name for it is "bacterial SSU rRNA". It matches the Rfam family "Bacterial small subunit ribosomal RNA", at positions 8 to 796 of the family's 1533-position model. The record is from RNAcentral.